GAACGUGAAAGGGAGCAAUCCUGAGUAAAGUGGCGUACGGGUGAGUAACGCGUAGGUAAUCUACCCCAGAGUCUGGAAUAACCUGCCGAAAGGCGGGCUAAUACUGGAUAGAGCGAUGGAACUCGUAAAGAGUUUUUCGGGAAAGGGAGGACGUAAGUCCCUUCGCUUUGGGAUGAGCCUGCGUCUCAUUAGCUAGUUGGUAAGGUAAUGGCUUACCAAGGCUUUGAUGGGCAGCUGGUCUGAGAGGAUGAUCAGCCACACUGGAACUGAAACACGGUCCAGACUCCUACGGGAGGCAGCAGUGGGGAAUCUUGCGCAAUGGACGAAAGUCUGACGCAGCCACGCCGCGUGAGUGAAGAAGGCCUUCGGGUUGUAAAGCUCUGUCGAGCGGGACGAAAAUUCUUAGAGUUAACAGCUCUAGGAACUGACGGUACCGCUAAAGGAAGCACCGGCUAACUUCGUGCCAGCAGCCGCGGUAAU
This 480-nucleotide ribosomal RNA is filed under the name uncultured bacterium. Its description in RNAcentral is "bacterial SSU rRNA". It matches the Rfam family "Bacterial small subunit ribosomal RNA", at positions 64 to 524 of the family's 1533-position model. The record is from RNAcentral.